This 326-nucleotide ribosomal RNA is filed under the name uncultured eukaryote. RNAcentral's name for it is "partial 18S ribosomal RNA". It matches the Rfam family "Eukaryotic small subunit ribosomal RNA", at positions 1470 to 1796 of the family's 1831-position model. The record is from RNAcentral.
CCCUUAGAUGUUCUGGGCCGCACGCGCGCUACACUGAUGCAUUCAACGAGCCUAGCCUUGACCGAGAGGUCCGGGUAAUCUUUGAAACUGCAUCGUGAUGGGGAUAGAUUAUUGCAAUUAUUAAUCUUCAACGAGGAAUUCCUAGUAAGCGUGAUUCAUCAAAUCGCGUUGAUUACGUCCCUGCCCUUUGUACACACCGCCCGUCGCUCCUACCGAUUGAAUGUGUUGGUGAGGAGCUCGGAUUGGCAGCAGUUGGUGGUUCGCCACCGGCUAUUGCUGAGAAGUCCUCCAAACCGCCCCAUUUAGAGGAAGGAGAAGUCGUAACA